UGACGCAGCGACGCCGCGUGGGUGAUGAAGGUCUUCGGAUCNUAAAACCCUUUUGCCAUUGACGAGCGAGGACGGUAGAUGGCGAAUAAGCCUCGGCUAACUACGUGCCAGCAGCCGCGGUAAAACGUAGGAGGCGAGCGUUAUCCGGAGUUACUGGGCGUAAAGCGUGCGUAGGCGGUUGCGUAAGUGGGACGUGAAAGCUUCCGGCUAAACUGGAAGAGGACGACUCAGACUGCGCGACUAGAGUGGGUCAGAGGUGGGCGGAAUUCGGGGUGUAGCGGUGAAAUGUGUAGAGAUCCCGAGGAACACCAGAAGCGCAGGCGGCGCACUGGGACCUAACUGACGCUGAGGCACGAAAGCGUGGGGAGCGAACGGGAUUAGAGACCCCGGUAGUCCACGCCGUAAACGAUGUCAACUGGGUGUUUGUUUGGGGAAACUCAAGUGGGCGCCAAAGCUAACGCGCUAAGUUGACCGCCUGGGGAGUACGGUCGCAAGGCU
This 498-nucleotide ribosomal RNA is filed under the name uncultured Chloroflexota bacterium. RNAcentral's name for it is "bacterial SSU rRNA". It matches the Rfam family "Bacterial small subunit ribosomal RNA", at positions 384 to 895 of the family's 1533-position model. The record is from RNAcentral. Lineage: Bacteria; Bacillati; Chloroflexota.